Doryrhamphus excisus (bluestripe pipefish) is the source of this 117-nucleotide non-coding RNA. Lineage: Eukaryota; Metazoa; Chordata; Actinopteri; Syngnathiformes; Syngnathidae. The record is from RefSeq and is a predicted model, not a curated record.
GCUCAUGUUUCUCUUCAGAUCGUACAAAUCUUUCGCCUUUUACUAAAGAUUUCCGUGGGGAGGAACAGCAUGAGUAUGAGAGUAGCCAAUUUUUGCUACUCUGCUCUCAGCAGAGUG